RNAcentral lists this ribosomal RNA (451 nucleotides) under uncultured bacterium. Its description in RNAcentral is "bacterial SSU rRNA". It matches the Rfam family "Bacterial small subunit ribosomal RNA", at positions 340 to 786 of the family's 1533-position model. The record is from RNAcentral.
UACGGGGCAGCAGUGGGGAAUAUUGCACAAUGGGCGCAAGCCUGAUGCAGCCAUGCCGCGUGUAUGAAGAAGGCCUUCGGGUUGUAAAGUACUUUCAGUCGUGAGGAAGGUGUUAAGGUUAAUAACCUUAGCAAUUGACGUUAGCGACAGAAGAAGCACCGGCUAACUCCGUGCCAGCAGCCGCGGUAAUACGGAGGGUGCGAGCGUUAAUCGGAAUUACUGGGCGUAAAGGGCACGCAGGCGGUUAAUUAAGUUGGAUGUGAAAUCCCCGGGCUUAACCUGGGAAUGGCAUUCAAGACUGGUUAGCUAGAGUCUUGUAGAGGGGGUAGAAUUCCAUGUGUAGCGGUGAAAUGCGUAGAGAUGUGGAGGAAUACCGGUGGCGAAGGCGGCCCCUGGACAAAGACUGACGCUCAUGUGCGAAAGCGUGGGGAGCAAACAGGGAUUAGAUACC